CCCGACCGCUAUCGGGGUAAGACUAAGCCAUGCAAGUCAACGGGUCUAAAAGACCCGUGGCGCACGGCUGAGUAACGCGUGGUCAACUUACUCUCGGGACGGGAAUAACCUCGGGAAACUGAGGCUAAUUCCCGAUAGGUGAAGACACCUGGAAUGGGUCUUCACCGAAAGGGGUGUAGCAAAAUGUUGCUACACCCGCCCGAGAAUAGGACUGCGUCCUAUCAGGUAGCUGGUGGGGUAACGGCCCACCAGGCCUAUAACGGGUAGGGGCCGUGAGAGCGGGAGCCCCCAGAUGGGCACUGAGACAAGGGCCCAGGCCCUACGGGGUGCAGCAGGCGCGAAAACUCCGCAAUGCGGGCAACCGCGACGGGGUUACCCCGAGUGCUACCCGCUGAGGGUAGCUUUUCCUCGGUCUAAAAAGCCGAGGGAAUAAGCGGGGGGCAAGACUGGUGUCAGCCGCCGCGGUAAUACCAGCUCCGCGAGUGGUCGGGACGAUUAUUGGGCCUAAAGCGUCCGUAGCUGGCCCAACAAGUCUUCCCCAAAAUUCCAUGGCUCAACCAUGGAGACGGGGAAGAUACUGUUGGGCUAGGGGGUGGGAGAGGCCGAGGGUACUUUCGGGGUAGGGGCGAAAUCCUAUAAUCCCGAAAGGACCACCAGUGGCGAAGGCGCUCGGCUGGAACACGCCCGACAGUGAGGGACGAAAGCUGGGGGAGCAAAGGGGAUUAGAUACCCCCGUAGUCCCAGCCGUAAACGAUGCGAGCUAGGUGUUGGGUGGGCUUCGAGCUCACCCAGUGCCGCAGGGAAGCCGUUAAGCUCGCCGCCUGGGGAGUACGGCCGCAAGGCUGAAACUUAAAGGAAUUGGCGGGGGAGCACCACCAAGGGGUGAAGCUUGCGGUUC
RNAcentral lists this ribosomal RNA (898 nucleotides) under uncultured archaeon. RNAcentral's name for it is "bacterial SSU rRNA". It matches the Rfam family "Archaeal small subunit ribosomal RNA", at positions 21 to 903 of the family's 1478-position model. The record is from RNAcentral.